GCAUCAUUUCGAGAGUUCAGAAAUGACGGGUGAGCGACGGUGGGUUCCAGUGUCGAAAUAGACACUUCCGGGAACCCGGAUCCCAACAAUUAUACACCAAUAGUUGUUUGGUUGUGUAUCCUUGUGUUUGCUGCCUUGUCACACUAAAAUAAGUGUUUAGUGGCAGCAAAUGACUCGUGGCAUGAGUCGGUGCCUUCCGGGACAGUUAGUAGGUCCCGGCGGAGUCCCGGUGCGAUUCUCGGGACUUCCGGCGAGUCACGGUAAUCGGUUUUGGGAAACCGAUCCCCGUGGGAUUGCUUGUGGGUUAUGCUCUUAGGGUUUCUUAGUUGUGGGUUAGACACUAACCCAGUGGACCCUCCUUAGGUCCGGUUAACGUUCUUCUGCAGUCAGGAGACAGGCGCGACAGUUGUACAGGUGGGUACUUCGAUCCGACGUUGGUACAGUGGUGCACGCUCGGUGAUGGUUUCUUACCCUUGUUCUUUUGUUAUUAUCCAUGCAUAUAUUAUAUGUUGAGCUUUGCACCUCUAUCGUUUACAUUACACCCACGUUGUUUGACUAUACUCUACUCAGACGUUUCCAUGCUUAGUAUUAUGUGUAGGAGUAUAAUCUAUCUGUAUGUGAUACCAUGUUUCUUUAUUGCUCUACUUAGCUAUUCUGCAAAUCCUGUAUCAUUUUUAGAGUAGAACAGUUUCGUGAUGUUAUGUGAAAUCGGUGACCUAGUUGAUUCGUUCUUGUAUCUUAUAUCUGUAAAUAGUCGGUUUGUUCCUUGACUCUUGUUGUUUGAUGACCUUUGAGGUCGGUGUACCCUGAGGGGUAGGAUUGUCGACUAGUGGCCGACGGUAGUUCUAGAUCAUAUACUCAUAUGACUUGUUGACCGAUUCUUGCAUAUAUACAGUAGUUGACUCAUUGAUCAGUAUUUACAUACUGUGGGUAGGAUGUUGAGUUGUUCCAUCCCAGUUGACUUGAUUAGUCAGUAUUUGCAUAUGUUUGAGAGGAUGUCGAUGUUGUCCCAUCCUAGUUGACCUGAGUGGUCGGUUCUUGUGCUUCUUUACAGUUGAUGACCUAUGCGGUCGAUAGGCCCUGGGGGGCAGGAUUGUCGGCUGGUUGCCGACGGUUGAUCAUUGACCAUAUUGCAUUGAUCGCCCGAUACUCGUUGCAUUUCACGAACACUGGCGGUCUGAUCCACCGCAAGGAGUGUUCUUUUCCGGAAAAGUGGUUGAAUGGUGACAACCCGUGAGCCCUAGAGGGGUUAUAUGCAUGUUAGAGCGGCAGUGGUACUGUCGGGAGGUGUUGCGGUGCGGACCUCCAGGGCAUUGGCUUGAGGUCUGCGGUGCUGACCAAGAGAGCAUUGGUUUCAGAUUGGGUACUUUUGGACUUCUUGACCGGUUGACGCAUAUGUCUAUAGCAGCAGUCAUUGCAUGCAUACUUAUAGUUCUUACUUUAUAGUUGUCUUGCUACUAUAGUAGAUAUUCAUGUAUGCUUUCUGUUCUAGUUACAGUAGCGGUAGCCGUUUAUUCAGUAUAGUUCUCACUUCCUUUCAGUUUAUCGCUAUUGUAUAUCUGCUCAUUACUUUGUUUAUUUCCACUGACCCAUGUUGUUGUAUAGUUCUUCCUGAUCCGGUGAGUACUCCUCGCCUUCUUCGGCUUGCGGUACCCACUGGGAGGGGAGACAUGUUUACAUGUUCUCACCUCCCCCACCAUUUUUCAGGUAUCGCGGGCGUUGAGUAGUGGGACGAGACGUGAGGUACGUGUGUAGCGGACGAUAGAGCUUCCGACCCAGGUUAUUUCGGUAUAGUUAUUACCCUUAGUAUUUCAGUUGUUAUAGCUUAGACAGUUAUAUGGUUCAGUAUUUUUAUUACAUUUGAAAAUAUGGGUGACCCCCUGGGAAGUUGGGGCGUCACAGAUGGUAUCAGAGCCAAUUACCAGCCGGAAGUGUGAGAUGAGUCUCGGCUGAGCCAGGGUCUGGAUGACGGGCUAGCGAGACGAGUCUCACAUCGCCUGGUACUUGUGAGUCUGAGCCUGACGAGAACGUCAGGGCUUAAAGGAUGGGAGAUUGUGAGACCCCAGAUAGUCCUAUAUAUGAGAUAUAAUAGGGCUAAACUCUUAACCCGGCUUAAGCAUUUUGGGUGGUGGCUAGACCCAAGAGGUUAAGAGAGUUAAGCGUGCUAGGACGGGAGUAGUCCUAGGAUGGGUGACCCUCUGGGAAGUUGGGGGGUCACAUCCAUAUUUAUCGUUUUAAUAUAUUUUAUUCUCUUAUUCUUAAUACUGAAUAUAUAUCAUCUUUUCAGCCUUGUGUAUGUGUAACUCUAGCAACUGUUCUAAGUGUUGAGACUGAGCGUGGCUGGUACUACAAUUCUUGCAAAAAGUGUAGCAAAAAGGUGAUUCCUGAUGGAACUAGAUUCUAUUGUGAAUUUUGUGAGAGAAUGGUAACUUGUGUUGGACUAAGGUGAGAAUUUUUACUUCUACACUCGACGUGUAUGAUUUAAUGUGAUGUUUUUCUAACUACAACCUACAAUAUGCAUGUAAUUUCAAAGUCCAACUGAGGGUGAUAGACGAGUCUGGGAGUGCUUCGUUGAUUUUAUUUGAUCGUGAGGUUGUCCAGUUUCUGCAAAAUACUGCCGCGCAAUUACACCAACAAGUUUUAUUGGUAAGUGCGUAUUAUUUAUCAUAAAUAUAUGUAGUAUGUUUCUUAUUUUUGUAUAUACUAAUAGUAAAUAUUUUUAUUCAGACAGGUG
This 2734-nucleotide long non-coding RNA is filed under the name Ananas comosus (pineapple). Its description in RNAcentral is "long non-coding RNA (ACOM_LNC040190)". The record is from RNAcentral. Lineage: Eukaryota; Viridiplantae; Streptophyta; Magnoliopsida; Poales; Bromeliaceae.